UGACUUAUCUAGUGUUAUUUGGGGUUAGUAUAUGUUAGAAUACAAUGAAUUUGAUUUAUUACAAGUGCUAGAGAUGCAUGAAGAGUGUUUUAAAGUAUGGAGAAAGACUUGUUGAAAUUGGGUCCCAAAUGGGCUAAGAACUCGGAAACAUUGCGUUGAACCACUAAAUGACUUAUCUAGUGUUGUUUGGGGUUAGAAUAUCUUAGAAUACAAUAACUUUGAUUGAUUACAAGUGCUAGAGAUGCAUGAAGAGUGUUUAGAAGUGUGUAGAAAGACAUGUUGAAAUUUGGUCCCAAAUGGGCUAAGAAUCGAUAAACAUCUCUUUGGAG
This 329-nucleotide long non-coding RNA is filed under the name Capsella rubella. RNAcentral's name for it is "long non-coding RNA (CRUB_LNC000716)". Lineage: Eukaryota; Viridiplantae; Streptophyta; Magnoliopsida; Brassicales; Brassicaceae. The record is from RNAcentral.